GUACACGCUGUGACUAGCAUAUCAAUAAGCGGAGGAAAAGAAACUAACAAGGAUUCCCCUAGUAACGGCGAGUGAAGCGGGAAGAGCUCAAAUUUGAAAUCUUAAAGGGUUUCCCUUUACGAAUUGUAGUUUAAAGAAGUGUUUUCUGUUGAGGUUUUGGUAAAAGUUCUUUGGAAUAGGACAUCAUAGAGGGUGAGAAUCCCAUAUUUGACCUUUACUUUCAACUUUGUGAUACACUUUCAAAGAGUCGGAUUGUUUGGGAAUGCAGUCCAAAAUGGGUGGUAAAUUUCAUCUAAAGCUAAAUAUUGGCGAGAGACCGAUAGCGAACAAGUACCGUGAGGGAAAGAUGAAAAGAACUUUGAAAAGAGAGUUAAACAGUACGUGAAAUUGUCAAAAGGGAAGCGUUUGACACCAGUGUUGUUUUUCUGAAAAUCAAUUAAAGAACUGUUUAUGCUAAGCUGUUUAGACUUUAUCAGCUAUCUGUUUAGUUUUGAGCUUUUCUUUAAUGCACUUUUCAGUUAACAAGUCAACAUCAAUUUCUUUUGCUGUAAAAAAGCUUGAGGAAGGUGGCUUGAGAUUCGUCUUAAGUGUUUAUAGCCUCUUGCCUAUGCAGUCGGAGAGAUUGAGGUCUGCAGCGUAGAUCCUUCGGGGCUAAAUGCAUUUGUGCUAAGUUAUAGCAUUUUAUAGACAACUUGUUGACUAUGAUUUGUCUUGUAGCUUACUCGCUUAUGUUAUUUUACCUACGCUUAGGAUGUUGAAUCUGUGCGAGACUAC
Molecule: ribosomal RNA, 774 nt
Filed under: uncultured Neocallimastigales
Lineage: Eukaryota; Fungi; Neocallimastigomycota; Neocallimastigomycetes; Neocallimastigales
Description: partial large subunit ribosomal RNA
Rfam family: Eukaryotic large subunit ribosomal RNA
Source: RNAcentral